Molecule: ribosomal RNA, 1956 nt
Filed under: human gut metagenome
Description: bacterial LSU rRNA
Rfam family: Bacterial large subunit ribosomal RNA
Source: RNAcentral
GAAAGUAAACAAGGGCGCAUGGAGGAUGCCUAGGCUCUCGGAGGCGAAGAAGGACGUGAUAAGCUGCGAAAAGUUACGGUAAGGCGCAAAUAGCCCUAGACCCGUAAAUAUCCGAAUGGGGCAACCCGGCCAGCAAUGGCCAUACCGCCAAGCGGUAAGCCAACGCGGGGAACUGAAACAUCUAAGUACCCGCAGGAAAAGAAAAUAACAAUGAUUCCGCCAGUAGUGGCGAGCGAACGCGGAACAGCCCAAACCACCCGUGUUACGGCACGAGUGGGGUAGAAGGAUCCACGCUACGGCAAGAAAUAAGUUAGCAGAAUACGAUGGAAAUCGUAGCCAGAGACGGUGACAGCCCGGUACGCGAAAACGGACAGAAGCCCAGUGGACACCUGAGUAACCCAGGACACGAGAAAUCCGGGGCGAAUCAGCGGGGCCCAUCCCGUAAGGCUAAAUACUCCCGAGAGACCGAUAGCGAACCAGUACUGUGAAGGAAAGGUGAAAAGAACCUCGAACAGAGGAGUGAAACAGACCCUGAAACCAUGCGCCUACAAGCGGUCGGAGCAUGUUAAAAUGUGACGGCGUGCCUUUUGCAUAAUGAACCUACGAGUUACUCUCGCUGGCAAGGUUAAGCGAUUCAGUCGCGCAGCCGAAGCGAAAGCAAGUCCGAACAAGGCGUACAGUCAGCGGGAGUAGACGCGAAACCAAGUGAUCUACCCUUGGUCAGGUUGAAGGUUGGGUAACACCAACUGGAGGACCGCACCGAUAAGCGUUGAAAAGCUUACGGAUGAACUGAGGGUAGGAGUGAAAGGCCAAUCAAACUUGGAGAUAGCUCGUACUCCCCGAAAUGCAUUUAGGUGCAGCCUCGAAGUAAAGUGAUAGAGGUAGAGCGACUGAUAAGAUGCGAGGGCUUCACCGCCUAUCAAGUCUUGACAAACUCCGAAUGCGUGUCAGUUCUAUGUCAGGAGUGAGGGCAUGGGUGCUAAGGUCCAUGUCCUAAAGGAGAACAAUCCGGACCAACAGCUAAGGUCCCGAAAUGAAUACUAAGUUGAACUAACGAAGUCAGAUUGCUAAGACAGCUAGGAUGUUGGCUUGGAAGCAGCCAUUCAUUUAAAGAGUGCGUAACAGCUCACUAGUCGAGGAGUUUGGCGUGGAUAAUAAUCGGGCAUUAAGUGUUUUACCGAAGCUAUGGGAUCAGUAAUGAUCGGUAGGGGAGCAUUCCACUCUGCGUCGAAGGUGAAGCGUGAGCUUUGCUGGAGCGUGUGGAAAAGCAAAUGUAGGUAUAAGUAACGAUAAAGGGGGUGAGAAACCCCCUCGCCGAAAGACUAAGGUUUCCUGAUCAACGCUAAUCGGAUCAGGGUUAGUCGGGUCCUAAGGCUCAGCCGAACGGUGAGGCCGAUGGCAGAACAGGUUAAUAUUCCUGUACUACCUGUAGGAGUGAUGUGGAGACGGAGGAGUGACAACGCCGCGGACUGACGGAAUAGUCCGUUAAAGGGUGUAGAUGUUGAUUAUCCCAGGCAAAUCCGGGAUAAGAGUCGAACCUGACAGUAUACCAAUUUCCUCGGAAAACGGUAAUAGUGCGUGUAAACAUACUCCCAAGAAAAUCCGCUAAACUUAAUCUUACAGGUACCCGUACCGUAAACGGACACACGUAGUCGGGUUGAAUAUACUCAGGCGCUUGAGUGAAUCACGGUUAAGGAACUAGGCAAAUUGACCCUGUAACUUCGGGAUAAAGGGUCCCUACCCGGUGACGGGAGGGCGCAGAGAAUAGGUCCAGGCAACUGUUUAACAAAAACACAGGGCUGUGCAAAAUUUCAAGAUGAAGUAUACAGCCUGACACCUGCCCGGUGCCGGAAGGUUAAGAGGAGAGCUAAUCGCAAGAGAAGGCUUGAAUUGAAGCCCCGGUAAACGGCGGCCGUAACUAUAACGGUCCUAAGGUAGCGAAAUUCCUUGUCGGGU